AGAGUUUGAUCCUGGCUCAGGAUAAACGCUGGCGGCGCACAUAAGACAUGCAAGUCGAACGAACUUAACCUUUAGUUUACUAAUGGAGCGGUUAGUGGCGGACUGGUGAGUAACGCGUAAGAAAUCUGCCUAUAAGAGGGGAAUAACAGUGAGAAAUCAUUGCUAAUACCGCAUAAGCUCUGAGAAUCGCAUGAUACAAAGAGAAAAGGAGUAAUCCGCUUAUAGAUGAUCUUGCGUCUGAUUAGUUAGUUGGUGAGGUAAAGGCCCACCAAGACGAUGAUCAGUAGCCGGACUGAGAGGUUGAACGGCCACAUUGGGACUGAGAUACGGCCCAGACUCCUACGGGAGGCAGCAGUCGGGAAUAUUGCGCAAUGGAGGAAACUCUGACGCAGUGACGCCGCGUGCAGGAAGAAGGUUUUCGGAUUGUAAACUGCUUUAGAUAGGGAAGAAAAAAUGACAGUACCUAUAGAAUAAGCUCCGGCUAACUACGUG
RNAcentral lists this ribosomal RNA (492 nucleotides) under uncultured bacterium. RNAcentral's name for it is "bacterial SSU rRNA". It matches the Rfam family "Bacterial small subunit ribosomal RNA", at positions 8 to 507 of the family's 1533-position model. The record is from RNAcentral.